Molecule: non-coding RNA, 27 nt
Filed under: Homo sapiens (human)
Lineage: Eukaryota; Metazoa; Chordata; Mammalia; Primates; Hominidae
Source: RNAcentral
UGUGCAUAAUCCUGGACUGUGAUGGGA